This 492-nucleotide ribosomal RNA is filed under the name uncultured bacterium. RNAcentral describes it as "partial 16S ribosomal RNA". It matches the Rfam family "Bacterial small subunit ribosomal RNA", at positions 29 to 507 of the family's 1533-position model. The record is from RNAcentral.
AGUGAACGCUGGCGGUAGGCCUAGCACAUGCAAGUCGACCGGCAGCACAGUACGAGCCUGCUCUUACGGAUGGGGCGUGCCGGACGGGUGAAGAAUACUUCCGAAUCUACUUUUCUGUGGGGGCUUACGUAGGCCAACUUACGCUAAUACCGCAUAAUACCUCCGGGUGAAAGCAGGGGAUCUUCGGGCAUUGCGCGCUUGAAUGAACCGAUGCCGGAUUAGCUAGUUGGCAGGGUAAAGGCCCACCAAGGCGACGAUCCGUAGCUGGUCUGAGAGGAUGAUCAGCCACACUGGAACUGAGACACGGUCCAGACUCCUACGGGAGGCAGCAGUGGGGAUUAUUGGGCAAUGGGCGAAAGCCUGACCCAGCCAUACCGCGUGAGUGAAGAAGGCCUUCGGGUUGUAAAGCCCUUUUAUUAGGAAAGAAAAGUAGCGGGUUAAUACCCGGCUGUUCUGACGGUACCCAAAGAAUAAGCACCGGCUAACUUCGUG